UGCAGUCGNNCGGCAGCACGGAGCUUGCUCUGGUGGCGAGUGGCGAACGGGUGAGUAAUGCGUCGGAACGUAUCCAAUAAUGGGGGAUAACGCAGCGAAAGCUGUGCUAAUACCGCAUACGCCCUCCGGGGGAAAGCAGGGGAUCGUAAGACCUUGCGUUAAUGGAGCGGCCGACGUCUGAUUAGCUAGUUGGUAGGGUAAAGGCCUACCAAGGCGACGAUCAGUAGCUGGUCUGAGAGGAUGAUCAGCCACACUGGGACUGAGACACGGCCCAGACUCCUACGGGAGGCAGCAGUGGGGAAUUUUGGACAAUGGGCGCAAGCCUGAUCCAGCCAUUCCGCGUGAGUGAAGAAGGCCUUCGGGUUGUAAAGCUCUUUCAGGAGGGAAGAAACGAUUGUGGCUAAUACCCAUGAUUAAUGACGGUACCUUCAGAAGAAGCACCGGCUAACUACGUGCCAGCAGCCGCGGUAAUACGUAGGGUGCGAGCGUUAAUCGGAAUUACUGGGCGUAAAGCGUGCGCAGGCGGUUUUUCAAGUCUGAUGUGAAAUCCCCGGGCUUAACCUGGGAACUGCGUUGGAAACUGAAAGACUAGAGUGCGGCAGAGGGGGGUAGAAUUCCACGUGUAGCAGUGAAAUGCGUAGAUAUGUGGAGGAAUACCGAUGGCGAAGGCAGCCCCCUGGGUCGACACUGACGCUCAUGCACGAAAGCGUGGGUAGCAAACAGGAUUAGAUACCCUGGUAGUCCACGCCCUAAACGAUGUCAACUAGUUGUUGGGGANGGAGANCUCCUUAGUAACGCAGCUAACGCGUGAAGUUGACCGCCUGGGGAGUACGGUCGCAAGAUUAAAACUCAAAGGAAUUGACGGGGGCCCGCACAAGCGGUGGAUUAUGUGGAUUAAUUCGAUGCAACGCGAAAAACCUUACCUACCCNU
RNAcentral lists this ribosomal RNA (931 nucleotides) under uncultured bacterium. RNAcentral's name for it is "bacterial SSU rRNA". It matches the Rfam family "Bacterial small subunit ribosomal RNA", at positions 56 to 982 of the family's 1533-position model. The record is from RNAcentral.